RNAcentral lists this non-coding RNA (219 nucleotides) under Luteibacter rhizovicinus. The record is from RNAcentral. Lineage: Bacteria; Pseudomonadati; Pseudomonadota; Gammaproteobacteria; Lysobacterales; Rhodanobacteraceae.
AAUUUUCCGCUCGUCAGCGGUCUUUAUCUCUUUAUUCGAAUAGAAAGAUAAAGCUAAGAGGGAAGCCGGUGUGAAUCCGGCGCUGCCCCGCAGCGGUAUGUGGAGACAAGCCCGUCACAGGCACUGGAUCGGUAGCGAUCCGGGAAGCGACGGACAAGGCGGCACCGUUACGGUGCCACAUCCACGAGCCCGAAGACCUGCCGCCGACCGGAACGAACG